Molecule: unclassified non-coding RNA, 655 nt
Filed under: Hevea brasiliensis (rubber tree)
Lineage: Eukaryota; Viridiplantae; Streptophyta; Magnoliopsida; Malpighiales; Euphorbiaceae
Source: RNAcentral
UUUCUUUCUUUCUUCUUUUCCUUUGUCCAGAAUAAAGGUAAAGGCUGUUUCAGCUGCUACGUAUGUUUAUCUAUCAGAUUAUAUUGGUCUGGAUUGGCUGUACUGAAUUUGUAUAUCCAAAUUCACCAUCCUGAUAUGGUGAACCCAAUAUGGUAAAUCCUGUAUUAGUAAGCUAAAACACCCAACACUUAUUAACUAGUAUGGGACUGCAGGCCGAUACUUUAAACCCUGUUUAACCAUCACACUAAAACAUUUAAUUACAGCCAAAAAUCUGUAGCACAAAACAGGAUUGCAAGAAUAUCAAGGACUUUUUGACAUUUAUGCAACAUGGCUAGUAAAGGAAGAAAAAAAUGAUGAAUGGCAGUAAGAAUGGAGUUUCAAGGAGACAAUUUGACGUGCAACAGAACCAAAGUUGUGAGCAUUAAGAUGGGAGAGACUAUAAUUCUUGAUGAUGAAGCUUAUAAUCAUACUAUCAUAUCCACCAUAUCAUCUCGCAUUGGCUGAGGAUGAACUUAGUGACAGUACAAGUCCAUAGCUCAAGUAUUUAACAACCUAUAAUUCAAUGAUUCGCACCAUUUGAAUCAUGAAUUCAUUUAAAUAACACCACAGUGUAAGCAAGACUUCCAACAUUAUGAUACAGGCCAUGCAAUACUAG